Molecule: transfer RNA, 71 nt
Filed under: Aeromicrobium panaciterrae
Lineage: Bacteria; Bacillati; Actinomycetota; Actinomycetes; Propionibacteriales; Nocardioidaceae
Description: tRNA-Lys
Rfam family: tRNA
About the family: Transfer RNA (tRNA) molecules are approximately 80 nucleotides in length. Their secondary structure includes four short double-helical elements and three loops (D, anti-codon, and T loops).
Source: RNAcentral
GCCUCGCAAGCAUUGCGGUGAUGCUCCGGACUCUUAAUCCGGAGAGCAAGGUUCGAUUCCUUGGUGGGGCA